This is a long non-coding RNA of Perca flavescens (yellow perch), 812 nucleotides long. RefSeq lists it as uncharacterized. The transcript is spliced from 3 exons. Lineage: Eukaryota; Metazoa; Chordata; Actinopteri; Perciformes; Percidae. The record is from RefSeq and is a predicted model, not a curated record.
GGAGAGUUGGGGUGGAGGUAGUCCAGCACAGGCAAGCAGCCAUCUGGUCCUGCAGCCGAACAAGGCGCUGGUCACAGACCCGCCCGCCUGACUCGGGGUACAAAGCGGCGAAGGCGAGAUAUGGGGUGUGGUGGUACCAAGGAAUGAGACCGUCCACUUUCUCAGAGGAAGAGCAACACCGCUAGAAAGCAGAAGAUAUGGACCAUGAAGUGCAGACUGAUGCAUCCAACCAGGCUCACUUUCAGCUGGAAGAGGGACUUGUGGAGGAGAGGGAGUCUUCUCCAUGGGUUGCUCUGGAUAAAGACACAGACUUUAUGACAAAAGAUGUAACGAAGGACACAGAAAAGAGGAAACCCUGGUUCAAGACUCUGCUGCCCAGGAUAUGGACCAUGAAGUGCAGUUUGGUGCAUCCAGCCAGAGUCACCUUCAGCUGGAAGAGAGACUUCUGGAGAAGAGGGAGGCUUCUCUUAAGGUCUCUUCCUCAGAGGAGCUGAGGCUCUCUUGAGGAGAUGGCCACCGGUGGUAAGCCUAGCUGAUGGGGAAACAUCUUCGGUCACACUGGAGACCAAUGUGGCUGUGCACUUGGAAGAUGAGCUGGAAGUACUGCAGCAGGAGGAAGUGGAGGAAUAUGAGACAUAGGACUUCCUGGUUCAGGACUUUGAUGAUAAGAAAAAGAAGGGAGUGCAUGCCUUUUUCUGUGGUUUCCGGAAGAUGAUGACAUGUUGCUUUCGUGUUUCCACUAAGCAAUAAAUCACAGCACUCUUUCUGCAAUAAUAUUGUUAAAUACAUUCAAUAAAAACUAUUAACUUUAA